RNAcentral lists this ribosomal RNA (253 nucleotides) under uncultured bacterium. RNAcentral describes it as "partial 16S ribosomal RNA". It matches the Rfam family "Bacterial small subunit ribosomal RNA", at positions 524 to 776 of the family's 1533-position model. RNAcentral also lists the same sequence under 1 other name. The record is from RNAcentral.
UACGGAGGGAGCUAGCGUUAUUCGGAAUUACUGGGCGUAAAGCGUACGUAGGCGGCUUUGCAAGUUAGAGGUGAAAGCCUGGAGCUCAACUCCAGAACUGCCUUUAAAACUGCAUCGCUUGAAUCCAGGAGAGGUGAGUGGAAUUCCGAGUGUAGAGGUGAAAUUCGUAGAUAUUCGGAAGAACACCAGUGGCGAAGGCGGCUCACUGGACUGGUAUUGACGCUGAGGUACGAAAGCGUGGGGAGCAAACAGG